This 449-nucleotide ribosomal RNA is filed under the name uncultured bacterium. Its description in RNAcentral is "partial 16S ribosomal RNA". It matches the Rfam family "Bacterial small subunit ribosomal RNA", at positions 29 to 523 of the family's 1533-position model. The record is from RNAcentral.
AAUGAACGCUGGCGGCAGGCCUAACACAUGCAAGUCGAACGGAUCCUUCGGGAUUAGUGGCGGACGGGUGAGUAACGCGUGGGAACAUACCCUUUGGUACGGAAUAGCCUCGGGAAACUGGGAGUAAUACCGUAUGUGGUCGAGAGACGAAAGAUUUAUCGCCAAAGGAUUGGCCCGCGUUGGAUUAGGUAGUUGGUGGGGUAGUGGCCUACCAAGCCGACGAUCCAUAGCUGGUUUGAGAGGAUGAUCAGCCACACUGGGACUGAGACACGGCCCAGACUCCUACGGGAGGCAGCAGUGGGGAACCUUAGACAAUGGGGGAAACCCUGAUCUAGCCAUGCCGCGUGAUCGAUGAAGGCCUUAGGGUUGUAAAGAUCUUUCAGGUGGGAAGAUAAUGACUGUACCACCAGAAGAAGCCCCGGCUAACUCCGUGCCAGCAGCCGCGGUAA